CUAUAUUUUCUAGGAGCCUACCUUUACUUAGCCUCACAACAUGGGCCUUAGCUUUAGCACUUAAUCUGCACAAAUACCUGGCUUAAGUGUUAUGACUGACUGGCUAUUCAACCAAACCAUACAAAUGACCAAUUCGGUAAGAAAGCAUGAACUUCAGUGUUGAACCAAAUCAACCAGCCUCCUCAAUCCAAAUGGAGGAGGAGAAGGAGGAGGGAGAAGAUGAGGAGUAGAGAAAUAUUGUGCCUCUGAGAAAAUUUCAGCGUGGUUCACUGUGGCGAGGAUAACAAAGGAAGCUGAGGAAGUCUGUUCUGGAGGCACCAUGACAAAGCACCAGACAGAAAGCAGUCACGUGUGGGGAGAUGAGCAGAGACACCACUUCUCAAGCACCUGAUUAUUCUUUCUCAGUAUUUAGAAGCAAAAAUUAUCCUUAAGAAAAACAACCGCAAACGCAACACAGGCUACACAGAUGAGAAGAUGGGGUAAGAUGGGGAUUGAGAAAAUUGAAGGGCAACUUGAUAACGAAGUU
This 526-nucleotide long non-coding RNA is filed under the name Gorilla gorilla gorilla (western lowland gorilla). RNAcentral describes it as "lncRNA (ENSGGOG00000044636.1)". The record is from RNAcentral. Lineage: Eukaryota; Metazoa; Chordata; Mammalia; Primates; Hominidae.